AGGUGUUUAGUUUAAGUAAAAUAUUUGAUUUCGGCUCAAAAGCCUAUGGUUAAACUCCAUAAUCACCCA
This 69-nucleotide transfer RNA is filed under the name Zu cristatus (scalloped ribbonfish). Its description in RNAcentral is "tRNA-Arg". It matches the Rfam family "tRNA". Rfam says of the family: Transfer RNA (tRNA) molecules are approximately 80 nucleotides in length. Lineage: Eukaryota; Metazoa; Chordata; Actinopteri; Lampriformes; Trachipteridae. The record is from RNAcentral. RNAcentral also lists the same sequence under 1 other name.